AGCAUAUCAAUAAGCGGAGGAAAAGAAACUAACAAGGAUUCCCCUAGUAACUGCGAGUGAAGCGGGAAAAGCUCAAAUUUAAAAUCUGGCGGUCUUUGGUCGUCCGAGUUGUAGUCUGGAGAAGUGUUUUCCGCGCUGGACCGUGUACAAGUCCCUUGGAACAGGGCGUCAUAGAGGGUGAGAAUCCCGUCUUUGACACGGACUACCAGUGCUUUGUGAUGCGCUCUCAAAGAGUCGAGUUGUUUGGGAAUGCAGCUCAAAAUGGGUGGUAAAUUCCAUCUAAAGCUAAAUACAGGCGAGAGACCGAUAGCGAACAAGUACCGUGAGGGAAAGAUGAAAAGCACUUUGGAAAGAGAGUUAAACAGUACGUGAAAUUGCUGAAAGGGAAACGCUUGAAGUCAGUCGCGUUGUCCGGAAAUCAGCCUUGUAUUUAUUUACUUGGUGUAUUUUCUGGUUGACGGGCCAGCAUCGAUUUUAAUCGUUGGAUAAAGGUGAGGGGAACGUGGCACCUUCGGGUGUGUUAUAGCCCUUUGUUGCAUACAACGAUUGGGAUCGAGGGACUCAGCACGCCUUUAUUGGUCGGGGUUCGCCCACGUUCGUGCUUAGGAUGCUGGCAUAAUGGCUUUAAACGACCCGUCUUGAAACACGGACCAAGGAGUCUAACAUACCUGCGAGUGUUUGGGUGGUAAACCCGAGCGCGUAAUUAAAGUGAAAGUUGAGAUCCCCCUUUCAAGGGAGCAUCGACGCCCGGACUUGACCUUCUGUGAUAGCUCUGCGGUAGAGCAUGUAUGUUGGGACCCGAAAGAUGGUGAACUAUGCCUGAAUAGGGUGAAGCCAGAGGAAACUCUGGUGGAGGCUCGUAGCGAUUCUGACGUGCAAAUCGAUCGUCAAAUUUGGGUAUAGGGGCGAAAGACUAAUCGAACCAUCUAGUAGCUGGUUCCUG
Molecule: ribosomal RNA, 943 nt
Filed under: Fibroporia sp. L14122-Sp
Lineage: Eukaryota; Fungi; Basidiomycota; Agaricomycetes; Polyporales; Fibroporiaceae
Description: LSU rRNA
Rfam family: Eukaryotic large subunit ribosomal RNA
Source: RNAcentral